Molecule: ribosomal RNA, 400 nt
Filed under: Candidatus Bathyarchaeota archaeon
Lineage: Archaea; Thermoproteati; Candidatus Bathyarchaeota
Description: bacterial SSU rRNA
Rfam family: Archaeal small subunit ribosomal RNA
Source: RNAcentral
AGAGCGGGAGCCCGGAGAUGGGCACUGAGACAAGGGCCCAGGCCCUACGGGGCGCAGCAGUCGCGAAAACUUUGCAAUAAGCGAAAGCUUGACAGGGCUAUCCCGAGUGCCAUCCGCUGAGGAAGGCUUUUACCCAGUCUAGAACGCUGGGGGAAUAAGGAGAGGGCAAGUCUGGUGUCAGCCGCCGCGGUAAUACCAGCUCUCCGAGUGGUGUGGAUGUUUAUUGGGCCUAAAGCAUCCGUAGCUGGCUAAGUUAGUCCCUUGUUAAAUCCACCGAAUUAAUCGUUGGAUUGCGGGGGAUACUGCUUGGCUAGGGGACGAGAGAGGCAGACGGUAUUUCCGGGGUAGGGGUGAAAUCCUAUAAUCCCGGGAAGACCACCAGUGGCGAAGGCUGUCUGCU